AGCUCAGUUGGUAGAGCGCUCCGCCUGUAAUGGAGAGGUCCCGGGUUCGAUACCCAG
RNAcentral lists this transfer RNA (57 nucleotides) under Ixodes scapularis (black-legged tick). It matches the Rfam family "tRNA", at positions 9 to 63 of the family's 71-position model. Rfam says of the family: Transfer RNA (tRNA) molecules are approximately 80 nucleotides in length. Lineage: Eukaryota; Metazoa; Arthropoda; Arachnida; Ixodida; Ixodidae. The record is from Rfam by way of RNAcentral.